RNAcentral lists this ribosomal RNA (253 nucleotides) under uncultured bacterium. RNAcentral's name for it is "partial 16S ribosomal RNA". It matches the Rfam family "Bacterial small subunit ribosomal RNA", at positions 524 to 776 of the family's 1533-position model. The record is from RNAcentral.
UACGUAGGAUCCAAGCGUUGUCCGGAUUCACUGGGCGUAAAGGGUGCGUAGGCGGUCGGGUAAGUCUGAUGUGAAAUCUCACAGCUUAACUGUGAAACUGCAUUGGAUACUAUCCGGCUUGAGGAAUGGAGGGGAGACUGGAAUACUUGGUGUAGCAGUGAAAUGCGUAGAUAUCAAGUGGAACACCAGUGGCGAAGGCGAGUCUCUGGACAUUUCCUGACGCUGAGGCACGAAAGCCAGGGGAGCAAACGGG